AGGGGCGAACAUACCAGCACUGAUAAACCGGAUCCCAUCACAACUCCACAAUUAAGCGUCUUUGGGCGAGAGUAGUACUAGGAUAGGUGACCUCCUACGAAGUCCUCGUGUUGCACCUC
This 119-nucleotide ribosomal RNA is filed under the name Lupinus angustifolius (narrow-leaved blue lupine). The record is from RNAcentral. Lineage: Eukaryota; Viridiplantae; Streptophyta; Magnoliopsida; Fabales; Fabaceae.